RNAcentral lists this long non-coding RNA (822 nucleotides) under Androctonus crassicauda. The record is from RNAcentral. Lineage: Eukaryota; Metazoa; Arthropoda; Arachnida; Scorpiones; Buthidae.
CUUAAUAUCAUUCUAGCUCUUACUAUAGAUAGAUAGUAAAAGAUAGAUAUAGAUAUAAAAGAGAUAGUAAAAGAUGCAUAUUUAAAUUUCAUUCAUAAAACUAACCUGAUAUUAAAUUUUGAUAUUGAUAUUAAUUAUUAAUAACAACAUUCUGUCAAUGUAAUUCAAAUAGCCAUGUAAAUCAUGUAACAGUGAUAGAUAAUGUUAACCAAAUAGCAAUACAUUAAGAGAAAUAGUCCAUACAGUAUUCCAAUACAGAGGUAAAUACUACAAACAAUACCAAGAAGUCCCAAUAGUCAGCCCCAUGGCUGGAUGCCUAGCAAAGUUAACAAUUAGACAGAGAAUCAGAUAACAUCAAUAUAUAAGGACUACUGGACUUUUUACAAAAGAUAUUUAGACGCCAUUCUAAUUAUAUAAAAUAACAAGAUAAGAGCGAAGAGGUAAUACAAAAGUUUAUCAAUGAUGCAUAUGGCCGAAAAUUAGAAUUAGAUCAAUGCAGUCCUUCUAACAUACACUUUUUAGACAUACAAAUGGAGAACAAAGAUCAAAAAUACUUAACAGCAGUGUAUGAAAAAACCAACAAGUAAAAGAAUUCUUAUUCUGAGAUGUCACCCAAUCCAUUAAGAUACAAAAAGCUGUUUUCUGUUUCUCCUUUAAACAAGCUAAAUUACAUUGCAGCUACCAGGAAGCAAUUAGUAGAGAGAUUAAAAUUUAUUUAUAAAAUAGCUAAAGUAUACGGUUUUUGGAAAUUUUUUGUUUUGCUUAAAUGGCGAAUGCUUGGACAUUUGACUGUAUAUUGUGGUGGUGUGGUGGCAACAUAGG